CCCUUAGAUGUUCUGGGCCGCACGCGCGCUACACUGAUGCGUGGAAUAAGUAGUAUAGUCCUUUGCUGAGAAGCAUGGGUAAUCUUGGCAAGACGCAUCGUGCUAGGGAUAGAUGAUUGUAAUUAUUGAUCUUGAACGAGGAAUUCCUAGUAAACGCAAGUCAUCAGCUUGCAUUGAUUACGUCCCUGCCCUUUGUACACACCGCCCGUCGCACAGGCCGAUUGAAUGAUUCGGUGAGGUAUUUGGAUAUGUAUGUAUGUGGGUUGAUUUCCGCGUGUGUGUAGAAGAGUACCAAACCUGGUUAUUUAGAGACUUGUAAAGUCGUAACA
RNAcentral lists this ribosomal RNA (329 nucleotides) under uncultured eukaryote. RNAcentral describes it as "partial 18S ribosomal RNA". It matches the Rfam family "Eukaryotic small subunit ribosomal RNA", at positions 1470 to 1796 of the family's 1831-position model. The record is from RNAcentral.